AUGUGAACAGUGCGUGACCUGGAGAGAGAAGGCUUCCAUAGGAAAUGUUCAUUUGGCUGAAACGCAGCUCAGGACUGCAGACCUGGCGCCUUUCCCCUUCUCUUCAGCCUGCACCAGGAUCUGAACGUCCGCAGAGGCCUGGAGGGGAGCGGAUCUGCUGGAAUCUCACUCUUUACACCGUCAACAGUUGAAAAUGAGAACCGGACACAAGCAUCAAUAUCCGAACAGAAUAAAGACAAGAAAACUACCGACAGUAACUCUACCUCUAGCAAGUGAAAGUACAGUUUUAAUCUCCAGUAAGUCGGUCACGUCCAGAUUUGUCGUCUGCAGUGUAAACGACCUGCUGCCUGUGCCGCCAUUCUCUACACCUCUUCUUCAUUUCCACGCACGGUGGGAGAGCCAGAGCGCAUGGUGUGGUAAUCCCUGCUGGAAGGCGUCACCAUAUACUGUCAUUAAUGAAACCAAAGCUGCCACACAUGAAUAACCUAUACACAAACACACAGAUACUGUAUGCAUGUACAUGUACACACCCAUGCCCAGGGUUGGCAGAAGGUUGAAUGCUGGUAGCUGUAGCAACUUGUAGAUUACAGCUCAAGGUUUAUAUCUCUCUGUAGGUCGUGUUAUGGUGGCUCAGAUUUAUCCUCUGUAGUCAAUUAAAGGCAUGGAUUGUUCCUCUUUGUUGUCGUCAUCAUUGUUAUAGUGUGUGUAUAACGCUGUGAGGUCUAAACUCUUUGCUUAGUUCUGUGUAUUGUCUCAGAAUCGCAAAAAUCCUUCUUUAAAAGUCUUAUGGGAAUUUCAGCAGUGAC
Monopterus albus (swamp eel) is the source of this 806-nucleotide long non-coding RNA. RefSeq lists it as uncharacterized. The record is from RefSeq and is a predicted model, not a curated record. NCBI's taxonomy places the organism in Eukaryota, Metazoa, Chordata, Actinopteri, Synbranchiformes, Synbranchidae. The transcript is spliced from 4 exons.